GGACCGAGAGACCAUUCUUCGGGAACGAUUCAUCUACCGCGUCUACCAUUGGAGUUAGCCCGGUAUCUAUCCCUGGCAUAUCCAGUUUGCCUCAGAGCGACGGGCUUGCAGGACCAGCCGCUAGGACUGAUUCUCAUAUGACUCCUGACAUCCCUCAAAUGCCCGCGGA
Molecule: long non-coding RNA, 169 nt
Organism: Asparagus officinalis (garden asparagus)
Lineage: Eukaryota; Viridiplantae; Streptophyta; Magnoliopsida; Asparagales; Asparagaceae
Exons: 3
Source: RefSeq, a predicted model, not a curated record